Xenia sp. Carnegie-2017 is the source of this 482-nucleotide long non-coding RNA. RefSeq lists it as uncharacterized. The transcript has 3 exons. Lineage: Eukaryota; Metazoa; Cnidaria; Anthozoa; Malacalcyonacea; Xeniidae. The record is from RefSeq and is a predicted model, not a curated record.
UUCCAUCUGUCAGACGUAGGAAAUAUUGAAAGACCUAGCUACUUAUGGUGUCCGAGGAUUGUUGACCGUUCAACAAAAUGUGUGAAAAGGGACACGCUUGGAAUAAGCAAAAAUUGACUGUCGCCAAUGAAAUCCUUUUUAUGAAAUCACUUCUUCCUCAAUUAAUGGUAAUCAAGAACAUUUUAUUUUCCUUUACUAACUUGAGGAAAAAGUUUGAAUUCUUGUGAGAAAAGGAAAAGCGAAUUUCAAUAUUUUAUAUGUUUGAGUGCUGCAACUCACCAUAUUAAUGUCGGCAUGGAUUAAUCUCAGUUCUUCUACAUGUGACAUUUUUUCCUGCAAAAGUUGAUCCAUUUCGCUUUGAUAUUCAUGUAAACAUUUAUCUUCGCGCUCCGUAGUUUCCCAUUCUUGCAUCAGCAUAUUCUGAAGUCGAUGUAACUCGUCCAUUUUUAUUCUUAAAUAAAUCAAAACUACAUAUACUCGUA